ACUAAAGACCCCAAAAGAGUUCAACCUCAUCUGAGAAAAUGUUUUGAAGGAAUUUCCAAGCUCGAGUUUAAUAAUAAUUUAGAUAUAUUAAAAAUGUGUAGUGCCGAAGGUGAACAAAUUACUCUAGAACAAUAUAUUUCGACUGUACAAGCCAAAGGAAGCGUAGAAAAAUGGUU
Molecule: non-coding RNA, 176 nt
Organism: Cinara cedri
Lineage: Eukaryota; Metazoa; Arthropoda; Insecta; Hemiptera; Aphididae
Source: the annotation of a GenBank genome assembly